Molecule: ribosomal RNA, 494 nt
Filed under: uncultured bacterium
Lineage: Bacteria
Description: partial 16S ribosomal RNA
Rfam family: Bacterial small subunit ribosomal RNA
Source: RNAcentral
GACGAACGCUGGCGGCGUGCUUAACACAUGCAAGUCGAACGGUGAAGCGCCUUCCUUUUUGGUGGGUGUGGAUGAGUGGCGAACGGGUGAGUAACACGUGAGUAACCUGCCCCCUUCUUCUGGAUAACCGCAUGAAAGUGUGGCUAAUACGGGAUAUUCUGGGUCUGUCGCAUGAUGGGUUUGUGAAAGAUAUUGUUUCGGAGGGGGAUGGGCUCGCGGCCUAUCAGCUUGUUGGUGGGGUGAUGGCCUACCAAGGCGGUGACGGGUAGCCGGCCUGAGAGGGUGGACGGUCACACUGGGACUGCGACACGGACCAGACUCCUACGGGAGGCAGCAGUGGGGAAUAUUGCACAAUGGGCGCAAGGCUGAUGCAGCGACGCCGCGUGAGGGAUGGAGGCCUUCGGGUUGUGAACCUCUUUCGCCAGUGAAGCAGGCCUGCCUAGUUUGUGGGUGGGUUGACGGUAGCUGGAUAAGAAGCGCCGGCUAACUACGUG